UGUGGGAGCGGGCUUGCUCGCGAUGGUAUCGCUGCGGUCAGCCAAAUGCACCGCGCCGCCCAUAUCGCGAGCAAGCCCGCUCCCACA
Molecule: unclassified non-coding RNA, 87 nt
Filed under: Pseudomonas fragi
Lineage: Bacteria; Pseudomonadati; Pseudomonadota; Gammaproteobacteria; Pseudomonadales; Pseudomonadaceae
Source: RNAcentral